UGGGGAAUAUUGCACAAUGGGCGAAAGCCUGAUGCAGCAACGCCGCGUGAGUGAUGAAGGUCUUCGGAUCGUAAAGCUCUGUCUUUUGGGACGAUAAUGACGGUACCAAAGGAGGAAGCCACGGCUAACUACGUGCCAGCAGCCGCGGUAAUACGUAGGUGGCGAGCGUUGUCCGGAUUUACUGGGCGUAAAGGGUGCGUAGGCGGAUGUUUAAGUGAGAUGUGAAAUACCCGGGCUUAACUUGGGUGCUGCAUUUCAAACUGGAUAUCUAGAGUGCAGGAGAGGAGAAUGGAAUUCCUAGUGUAGCGGUGAAAUGCGUAGAGAUUAGGAAGAACACCAGUGGCGAAGGCGAUUCUCUGGACUGUAACUGACGCUGAGGCACGAAAGCGUGGGUAGCAAACAGGAUUAGAUACCCUGGUAGUCCACGCCGUAAACGAUGAGUACUAGGUGUAGGAGGUAUCGACCCCUUCUGUGCCGCAGUAAAC
This 485-nucleotide ribosomal RNA is filed under the name uncultured bacterium. RNAcentral describes it as "partial 16S ribosomal RNA". It matches the Rfam family "Bacterial small subunit ribosomal RNA", at positions 355 to 856 of the family's 1533-position model. The record is from RNAcentral.